UGGGGAAUAUUGGACAAUGGGCGAAAGCCUGAUCCAGCCAUGCCGCGUGUGUGAAGAAGGUCUUCGGAUUGUAAAGCACUUUAAGUUGGGAGGAAGGGCAUUAACCUAAUACGUUAGUGUUUUGACGUUACCGACAGAAUAAGCACCGGCUAACUCUGUGCCAGCAGCCGCGGUAAUACAGAGGGUGCAAGCGUUAAUCGGAAUUACGGGGCGUAAAGCGCGCGUAGGUGGUUUGUUAAGUUGGAUGUGAAAUCCCCGGGCUCAACCUGGGAACUGCAUUCAAAACUGACUGACUAGAGUAUGGUAGAGGGUGGUGGAAUUUCCUGUGUAGCGGUGAAAUGCGUAGAUAUAGGAAGGAACACCAGUGGCGAAGGCGACCACCUGGACUAAUACUGACACUGAGGUGCGAAAGCGUGGGGAGCAAACA
Molecule: ribosomal RNA, 427 nt
Filed under: uncultured bacterium
Lineage: Bacteria
Description: partial 16S ribosomal RNA
Rfam family: Bacterial small subunit ribosomal RNA
Source: RNAcentral